This 1360-nucleotide long non-coding RNA is filed under the name Hordeum vulgare. Its description in RNAcentral is "long non-coding RNA (HVUL_LNC000068)". Lineage: Eukaryota; Viridiplantae; Streptophyta; Magnoliopsida; Poales; Poaceae. The record is from RNAcentral.
CACGCCAGGGCAAGGCUGUGCAUCGGAGAUCACAUGGGGAAGGUCGAAGUUGAUCCCCUUGAUGCUCGGGUACUUCUUGGUGAUGGUGUGGACGACAGCACCCACGCCGCCGGCGACAUCCACCAGGGUGCCGAUGCCGUCGAAACCGGUGUACAGUUCGAGGAGCUUCUUGGUGAUGAUCACAGAAUGUUGCUUCAUGGCCUCGUUGAAGACGGAGUUGAAGCGCGCAUCCGUGCCGGCGUAGUCGAACCAGGACGCCCCGAAUGCCUUGGUGAAUGCACUGCCACCUUCAAGGACCGCGUCCUUCAUGUGGCACCUGCAUAUGAUUUAGUCCAAUCGAUUAUUUCACAAUAUGCAUGUCACUUCCAGUUCAUAACACCACAAAUACUUGUCUAAAUCUGUAUUAGAGAAGUGCAGUAAGAGUUGUCUGAGAUGUGAUAAAAAAUAAUACAUCACUGUAAAACUUUUCAUUUUUUCGGAAUCUGUCCUCAGAAGUGCUAAAAACAUUGAGCACUGAACUCUUUUUCUUGGGUAGAGCUUCUGGAAUGUUUCUUCCGUACGAAAUUACAGCAUAUUAUUGUUGUCAUGAAAUUUAAGCGUAUUUUAUUUUAUUUUGUUCUUUACUGUUCAUGAGGGUGCUCCUGCACCUGGGAGCUGAAAACCACUGUCGUCUGAGAUCUCAACUGAAUUUGAACAUGCUAGCUUCUUUUGACCAGAAAGUUCUAGUUUCUUUUCCUAAUCACUGUACUGAUUUCAUCAUUUCCACGGCCUAAUCACCAUACUUAUUGUUAAUUAGCUGAUUCGCCCAGGAUAAUUACAGAUCACGAGAAAAAAAAAAUCUUGAGGGCCAGAUGACACUGCCAGUUACCUGCUCUUAGCAAUAAAGAACAAAAAACAUAAACAGCCAAAGGUCAAUUACCUACGAUUCCAUGGAACGGACGAUUGAGGUGUGGUUACGCAUUGUUAUGUGUAACAGCACCCCGGUAUACAAUUCGCCCAGGAUAAUUACAGUUCAUAGAGGUGCUGAAAUCCACUGUCUAAUCGAAUGCAAUGCACACGGUACAUAUGUAGUAAGUAUACGGAAAGGAUUCUCACCAGGCCUCCAUGAAGAGCUUGUCCUGGGCGAGGAGGCAGAAGGGGGCCAUGGAGACGCCUUCCUCGUUGGGGGUGAGCCACUUGCACACCGGCUCGGCGCCGUACCGGCGUGAGAGGCUGCCGUCGCUGGACUCGGCCACCACGCACGACACGACCUUGUAUGCUGCCAGCACCCGCAGCAGCCGAUCCACCAUGGACGCCGCGUCCGGGUUGGCCUCGGCUUUGGACGGCAGCUUCGCCGCCACCUCCUCGGGGGUCAGCACCU